RNAcentral lists this small nuclear RNA (350 nucleotides) under Jaculus jaculus (lesser Egyptian jerboa). RNAcentral describes it as "7SK RNA (ENSJJAG00000002184.1)". It matches the Rfam family "7SK RNA". From Rfam's summary of the family: 7SK was discovered as an abundant small nuclear RNA in the mid-70s but a possible function has only recently been suggested. Two independent studies have found that 7SK RNA binds the CDK9/cyclin T complex (known as elongation factor P-TEFb). P-TEFb activates transcription by phosphorylating the C-terminal domain of RNA polymerase II. The record is from RNAcentral. Lineage: Eukaryota; Metazoa; Chordata; Mammalia; Rodentia; Dipodidae.
AGAUGUGAGGGCGAUCUGGCUAUGGCAUUGGUCAGCCCAUUGGUCAUCAGGGUUGACUUAGCUGAUCUGGAUGGCUAGGUGGGUGUCCUCUUCCUCCCUCAUCACUCCAUGUGCAUCCCUUCAGGGGCUGCAUGCUCAUUUAGAGAGGACGACCUUCCCAUGUAAAGGAUGGCUGGUCUUCAGUCAAGGGUAUAUAAGUAGCUGCGAUACCCUGCUAGAACCUCCAAAUAAGCUCUCAGAGUUCCCAAUCCAUAAAAAUGAUUAAUGCCUGAAGACAUGGAAAUGGUUAUUUCUCUGACUUUAUAAAUAUACACUGGGAAUAUAUAGAAGGGCCAUAUAACCCAUAAUGU